RNAcentral lists this ribosomal RNA (1099 nucleotides) under Salmonella enterica subsp. enterica serovar Montevideo. RNAcentral describes it as "partial 23S ribosomal RNA". It matches the Rfam family "Bacterial large subunit ribosomal RNA", at positions 400 to 1503 of the family's 2925-position model. The record is from RNAcentral. Lineage: Bacteria; Pseudomonadati; Pseudomonadota; Gammaproteobacteria; Enterobacterales; Enterobacteriaceae.
UGAGCUCGAUGAGUAGGGCGGGACACGUGGUAUCCUGUCUGAAUAUGGGGGGACCAUCCUCCAAGGCUAAAUACUCCUGACUGACCGAUAGUGAACCAGUACCGUGAGGGAAAGGCGAAAAGAACCCCGGCGAGGGGAGUGAAAAAGAACCUGAAACCGUGUACGUACAAGCAGUGGGAGCACCCUUUGGGGUGUGACUGCGUACCUUUUGUAUAAUGGGUCAGCGACUUAUAUUCUGUAGCAAGGUUAACCGAAUAGGGGAGCCGGAGGGAAACCGAGUCUUAAUUGGGCGUUAAGUUGCAGGGUAUAGACCCGAAACCCGGUGAUCUAGCCAUGGGCAGGUUGAAGGUUGGGUAACACUAACUGGAGGACCGAACCGACUAAUGUUGAAAAAUUAGCGGAUGACCUGUGGCUGGGGGUGAAAGGCCAAUCAAACCGGGAGAUAGCUGGUUCUCCCCGAAAGCUAUUUAGGUAGCGCCUCGUGAAUUCAUCUCCGGGGGUAGAGCACUGUUUCGGCUAGGGGGCCAUCCCGGCUUACCAACCCGAUGCAAACUGCGAAUACCGGAGAAUGUUAUCACGGGAGACACACGGCGGGUGCUAACGUCCGUCGUGAAGAGGGAAACAACCCAGACCGCCAGCUAAGGUCCCAAAGUCAUGGUUAAGUGGGAAACGAUGUGGGAAGGCCCAGACAGCCAGGAUGUUGGCUUAGAAGCAGCCAUCAUUUAAAGAAAGCGUAAUAGCUCACUGGUCGAGUCGGCCUGCGCGGAAGAUGUAACGGGGCUAAACCAUGCACCGAAGCUGCGGCAGCGACGCUGAUGCGUUGUUGGGUAGGGGAGCGUUCUGUAAGCCUGCGAAGGUGGCCUGUGAGGGUUGCUGGAGGUAUCAGAAGUGCGAAUGCUGACAUAAGUAACGAUAAAGCGGGUGAAAAGCCCGCUCGCCGGAAGACCAAGGGUUCCUGUCCAACGUUAAUCGGGGCAGGGUGAGUCGACCCCUAAGGCGAGGCCGAAAGGCGUAGUCGAUGGGAAACGGGUUAAUAUUCCCGUACUUGGUGUUACUGCGAAGGGGGGACGGAGAAGGCUAUGUUGGCCGGGCGACGGUU